UAUGUGUGCGCAGAAAGCAACAAUGUCCACCGUUGCAUAAUGACUAGCGGCUAAUGGGGGAAUGCCUGUGUGGGAUCCAAAAAUUUAAGUCAGGGGUCGAUGGUCUGUGAGAAGAGUAAACUUCCAUCCGAACAGGCUGCAUCUGGAGAGACAAUCUGCAGACCCUGGUCUGUGCAGUUACCAGCCAACCCCCCUGAGAACUUUCCCCUCCAGCCCCAGGGAAAAUGAAGCUUUGGUUGUACCUCGUCCUCAUUGCAGCAUCUCUGGAAGGUGCCCGGUCCCAAAUCCAGCUGGUGGAGUCCGGAGGGGAUGUGAAAAAGCCCGGAGACUCUCUCCGCCUCUCCUGCAAAGCCUCCGGGUUCACCUUCAGCAGCUAUGAGAUGAGCUGGAUCCGCCAGGCUCCCGGGAAAGGACUGGAGUGGAUCGCCUACAUUUACAGCACCAGCAUAUACUACAGUGACUCGGUAAAAGGGCGAUUCACCAUCUCCAGAGAUAACCCCAACAGCCUGUUGUACCUGCAAAUGACCGGCCUGAAGCCCGAGGACACCGCCCGGUAUUACUGUGCGAGAGACACAGUGAGGGGAAUCCCGUCAGGGCUCAUACAAAAACCCAAGUGGCAGAACCGAACUUCUCCCAUGCGCCGCAUGGGGGCAGCACUUCCACAAGCAAUCCAGCACUGGGCACAGGAACGAGAUCUACAACCAGAGCGAAAAACAAAUCAGUCCUCAGGUUUCAGAGCUCAAUAGCCAUCUAUGGAAUCAUAGAACCCUGGGACUGGAAGGGACCUCGAGAGGUCAUCUAGUCCCGUCCCCUGCACUCAUGGCAGGAUUCAGUGUUAUCUAGACCAUCCC
This is a non-coding RNA of Chrysemys picta bellii (western painted turtle), 851 nucleotides long. The record is from the annotation of a RefSeq genome assembly. Lineage: Eukaryota; Metazoa; Chordata; Testudines; Emydidae.